Long non-coding RNA from Bubalus bubalis (water buffalo), 3621 nucleotides. RefSeq lists it as uncharacterized. The transcript has 5 exons. NCBI's taxonomy places the organism in Eukaryota, Metazoa, Chordata, Mammalia, Artiodactyla, Bovidae. The record is from RefSeq and is a predicted model, not a curated record.
ACAAAUAACAAACACACUUUCUGGAAGCAGCAGGAACAGCCUGUCUCCCUGGAGAGGAAGGAAAACAAGAAGCUGCUGAGGGCCACAGCCGGGACAGCUGGAGCCACUGGGGCCUGAGCUCACCAGCCCAGGCCUUGUGGGAGGCUCCUCUGCAUGUGCAAAGGCCCUGAGCAUGGCAGCCUGCAGCCUGAGUCUGGGGGCCCAAACCCAGGCAGAGCAGGCGGGGGGCUGGACCACAUGGCCUUGGAGCCUCCCCAGGGCCCGCCGCCCAUGGGCUGCCACGUUCCUGAGGACCUGCGGUCUCCAUACUCACUGACACCGCAGCAAGGACCCUGGCGAGGCUUGGUGUUCACUUUUCUCUGCUGGGAGAAGGGGCACCAUCCAGCCCAGAGCCUAGAGAAGCGGAGAAACAGCCAUCAAGUGGCCCACAUAUGAGGGAGGUUUCAAAGUCCUGUUCUGAAGGAAGCCACCAUCAGGAGCCCAGGACCUGUCUGACUCACCCUCUGUGCUGUUAUUCUGAUGCAACUUCAUCCAAGGUCCUGAGGAUACCCUGAUGCUCCCUUGACUUCAGUGACCCCAAAUGCUCUUUUCUUUAAAAACAUCGCAAAUACAGGAUUUUUGGAUUUGAACCAGUGUCCACAGGUGCUAGACAUGGGUGUCAGGAUGCCACAGCAUCUGGCCCCUUUCUCCAGCGCGAUCACGGCAGGGGAUGGGAGUUCGUGUGGGUGUAGAUGGCCUGCCACGGGGUUGCAAAGAGCUGGACACGACUUAGCAACUGAACAACAACAAAAAGACAGCCUGCCACCUUGCACGCCCAGCUGCCCGGCUGAGGCCAACUCCACUCCAUCUCUUCAGCCCUACUUGUGUGCGGCUUUCUGAUUCCCAUCUUUGCAUCCUGGGAUUUCCCCUAAGGACUGGAGGAAUUACCAUGGGAGCCUUGCAGGCCGGUGAACCAGGAGGGUCUCUGGGACUCCGGCCAGUGCCAGCUUCAAGGCUUGGCCUCGCCAACACAGUUGAUUAGAAGCCCCUCCACAGGCACCACUGUCCUUAACCAGCGGGGCGGGGGGCACCCAGCCAGUCUCCUUUUGGCACUGAAGUUGGAGACAAUGAGAGGUCAAGGACAGGCAGAAAGAGCAGCCCUGUCGCUCCCGUCCAUGUUGACCUCACUUUCCAGAUGCUCCCACAGUGUGGGCAGCGGAGUGAGACCCAGGACAGUGGCCGGUGGACCCCUGGAUGCAUGGUGCCACCCUGUCUCCUGCCCGCAGCCUUCACGCCCGUCGGGGGCCUGGAGGCGGUGGGUCUGGGCUUGGUGCUGCGCUGGUGGGAAGGACCACGAGGAGUCUGAACAAAGGCAACGGAAGCAUCCAUCCAGUGAGUUCUGAGCUGUGUUUCUGCAAAGCUGUGCCUAAAUGGCAUUUUGAUAAGUUAAUUUCCCCUCGGCUUGUUCGAAUUUUGGCAAUACUUUCUCUUUUUCUCAUCACAGUUACGUUUCCCGGCUCAUGGUGCCCCUGAGUGGCAGGUGCACGCACAGUUGCAUGCUGGCUGUCUGUCCUCGCCACGUGGGACACCCAGCGAGGUCAUUGUAAGAGGGCUUUCCUAAAGGAGCGAGGACGUGCCAGGGGUGACCCUAGGGGCUGGGGUCCAGGUUGGGGUUGGCUGUGGCCCUGUGGGCUCCUCCUGGGUCAACCAUGUCCCGGCUGCAUUAAGGCUCAGGGUCAGAAGCGUCCUUCACGUGGGAAGUGACCACAGGCUCUCUGAGACCCCACCCCUGCCCUCCAGGUACCAAUCAGCCUCAAACCCCACCUUUCUCCUGGGUCCACUGUGGCUCCCUGACCCUGUGGACUGUUGUUCUCCAGGUGGCAAUCUGGCCUUUUCAAGUUGAGCUGCUCUGAACCCAGGCCCCACCCACCCUGUCUCUCCCACAUGCACCCCCCACCCCACGCCCCAUUCUCUCUGUCUGGUCCUGGGGGGCAGAGUCCAGACCCCCGGCUGUGCUGACCUCUCUUGGGCAGCAGGGGGUCCCUCCCAGAGGCCUCAGCUUGGGUUAUCACAGGCACCCAAGCCCCCUCCUUGCUGGCUGCAUUUCCUGUCUGCUCUGCCAUGGCUAUCAGCCUGCUUUGGCCCAGAAGAGAGUGUCUCACUUCCAAACAGAGAUGUUCAGGGCCCUUGUGUGGUCAGCAGUGUCUUGCUCUCUCCUGCUCUGGCCCUAGAGUAACUCCCUGGGCGACCCUCACAGGCAGGGAGUGUGGUGGGGGUGGGGGGCUGUUGUGAGAUCUGGGGCCUGCUGGGGACGCAGGGUGAUCCAGCCCACCCAGGACACACACGGAAAUCAGGAAGGUGGCCAGACACAGCUCCAAUCUCAGGGGACCAUGGCCCAGAGGCACCGGGGUUUUUAAAACUGCACUUAAAUGAAACCGGAGCUCCGCCAUGGGCCUGGAUCUUCAGAUGAGCGUGGCCUGGACUUUCCCUGUUUCUUUCUUUCUCCAGAAGUUCUUGGCGAGAGAGCUGAUUGUGUGAAAUUUUUUCCGGGCAAGGGUAAUUUCCAACUAUUCUAUGAUAUUUGCAAACACUGCAAGAGCAAGCAGAUCUGUGCUGUGAUGUUUUCCAAGAAAUAAAGUCUCUCCAAGUGGCCCUAACUGCUUCCUCCAAUGGCGGAGAGAGAACGGGGCCCUCUGCCCACUCGCUCGGCACCAGUCCUGCGGGCAGUGGUGUGAGCAGGGUCUCAGCAGGCGUCUCAGGCCCUGGACUGGGAAUGUGUGCAUUCCUUCUCUGAGUUCUUUGUGGAAAAGCAGAACCCAAAGCUCAGGUACAGCCUCAGCACAGCCCACCUGUACACUCAGGCCAAGGUGGCUUGUGGCCUGGUCCCUGCCUCCUGUCCCCUCCAGCUGUCCCCAGGUGGGCUCUGUGGUGCGUGCUGCUCUUCUGGGCUGAUGCCCCCGCCCCAGGACCGCCACCCCCCAACCCCCUGCCAUCUGCCUCAGCAGGCACUGCUCCCCUGAGAUGACCGGCUUCCAACAGUUCUCCAGAUUUAAGAUGGUAUUUAGUCCCCACUGGUGUACAUGUCCACAGUCAAGCUAAUGCACUUGCCCAGGUGAACUGGAAGCUUGUCCUCUGUAAGGAUGAGAAUGCGGGAAGAACUCAGGUGCCUCCAGCAGGCACCACGUGCCUAUGGUGGGGUCGUUCAUAGGACAGGAAGGACCGCACUGGCCUUCACACGGCAUGGACCAACCUUCAGUGCAUUUUUCCAAGUGAAAGAAGCCGGAGCCCAGAGCCCAUUUCCUGUCGGAGCCCAUUUCUGUGACAUCCUGGGGAAGGCUGCAUGCCAGCUGACCAGGGAUGGAACUCGUGCCUUCUGCAUUGGGAGUGAAGAGUCUUAACCACUGGACCACCAGGCAAGCCCCCAGUGUUCUUUCCUUUUUAAUGUCAAUUCCAGUGACCAUCUAGUGCCCUUCCAUUUUAACCCAAAGACCUCUCUUUAGUGUUUCUUGUAGGGUAGGCUUGCUAGUGAUGGGUUCUGUCAGAUUUUAUUUACUUUUAUUCAUUUUGUUAAAAUUAAAAACUGUGUGUAUCAUCAGUUCAGUUCAGUUCAGUCGAUCAGUCGUGUCCGACUCUUUGUGACCC